This 253-nucleotide ribosomal RNA is filed under the name uncultured bacterium. RNAcentral's name for it is "partial 16S ribosomal RNA". It matches the Rfam family "Bacterial small subunit ribosomal RNA", at positions 524 to 776 of the family's 1533-position model. The record is from RNAcentral.
GACAGAGGAUGCAAGCGUUAUCCGGAAUGAUUGGGCGUAAAGCGUCUGUAGGUGGCUUUUUAAGUCCGCCGUCAAAUCCCAGGGCUCAACCCUGGACAGGCGGUGGAAACUACCAAGCUGGAGUACGGUAGGGGCAGAGGGAAUUUCCGGUGGAGCGGUGAAAUGCGUAGAGAUCAUGAGGAAGACCAGUGGCGAAGGCGGGUCUCUGGACAGUUCCUGACACUGAGGAGCGAAAGUGUGGGGAGCGAACAGG